This 384-nucleotide ribosomal RNA is filed under the name uncultured bacterium. Its description in RNAcentral is "bacterial SSU rRNA". It matches the Rfam family "Bacterial small subunit ribosomal RNA", at positions 28 to 412 of the family's 1533-position model. The record is from RNAcentral.
GACGAACGCUGGCGGCGUGCUUAACACAUGCAAGUCGAGCGGUAAGGCCCUUUCGGGGGGUACACGAGCGGCGAACGGGUGAGUAACACGUGGGUGACCUGCCCUCAGCUCUGGGAUAAGCCUGGGAAACCGGGUCUAAUACCGGAUAUGACUCCAUGACGCAUGUUGUGGGGUGGAAAGCCUUGUGCGGCUGAGGAUGGGCCCGCGGCCUAUCAGCUUGUUGGUGGGGUGAUGGCCUACCAAGGCGACGACGGGUAGCCGGCCUGAGAGGGCGACCGGCCACACUGGGACUGAGACACGGCCCAGACUCCUACGGGAGGCAGCAGUGGGGAAUCUUGCGCAAUGGGCGAAAGCCUGACGCAGCGACGCCGCGUGAGGGAUGAC